UAGGGAAUCUUCCACAAUGGGCGCAAGCCUGAUGGAGCAACGCCGCGUGUAGUGAAGAAAGGUUUUUCGGAUCGUAAAGCUCUGUUGUAAGAGAAGAACGUGUGUGAGAGUGGAAAGUUCACACAGUGACGGUAACUUACCAGAAAGGGACGGCUAACUACGUGCCAG
Molecule: ribosomal RNA, 168 nt
Filed under: uncultured bacterium
Lineage: Bacteria
Description: partial 16S rRNA
Rfam family: Bacterial small subunit ribosomal RNA
Source: RNAcentral